Molecule: ribosomal RNA, 486 nt
Filed under: uncultured bacterium
Lineage: Bacteria
Description: partial 16S ribosomal RNA
Rfam family: Bacterial small subunit ribosomal RNA
Source: RNAcentral
GACGAACGCUGGCGGCGUGCUUAACACAUGCGAGUCGAACGCUGAAGACCUGGCUUUUGUUGGGUUGGAUGAGUGGCGAACGGGUGAGUAACACGUGAGUAACCUGCCCUCUUCUUUGGGAUAACGCCCGGAAACGGGUGCUAAUACUGGAUAUUCACUGGCCUUCGCAUGGGGGUUGGUGGAAAGGGUUGUUCUGGUGGGGGAUGGGCUCGCGGCCUAUCAGCUUGUUGGUGGGGUGAUGGCCUACCAAGGCUUUGACGGGUAGCCGGGCUGCGGGGGUGACCGGGCACAUUGGGACUGGGAUACGGCCCAGACUCAUACGGGAGGGAGCAGUGGGGAAUAUUGCACAAUGGGCGAACGCCUGAUGCCGCGACGCCGCGUGAGGGAUGGAGGCCUUCGGGUUGUAAACCUCUUUCGAUAAUGGUCAAGCCGCCACUGUGGGUUGUGGUGAGGGUAGUGGGUAAAGAAGCGCCGGCUAACUACGUG